RNAcentral lists this ribosomal RNA (1047 nucleotides) under Amynthas sp. FJ201110-09. RNAcentral describes it as "partial 12S ribosomal RNA". Lineage: Eukaryota; Metazoa; Annelida; Clitellata; Crassiclitellata; Megascolecidae. The record is from RNAcentral.
CUCGAUAAUCCACGUAUACCCAACCUUCUCUUGACAUACAGCAUGUGUACUGCCGUUGCAAGCAUACCUUUAAAAGUAUAGUAUGCUACUAUGAUUAAGUACUCAUACACAUCAGGUCAAAGUGCAGCUAAUAAGAAGGUGAUGAUGGGUUACAACCCCAAAACAGACUAUCAACUAAGAAAUAAAAAAUCUUACGAAAGUGGACUUGGCCGUAAUCGAUUCUAAAUUAAAAAAAUGAAUAAUAUCUAAGACAUGUACACAUCGCCCGUCACUCUAUCCUAAAGGUUAGAUAAGUCGUAACAAAGUAGGUGUAAUGGAAAUUGUACCUGUCGGAGUAUAGCAUAUAAAAUGCUUUUUACUUACACUAAAAAUAAAGUUAAUAAACUUACUUCGCACACACACUACAACCCUAUAAACCACUAAAUAAUAAAAAUAAUUAAAAAAUUUAAUUAAUACAAAAGUACAGAAAUGGAAAAAUAAAUAAAUAAAAGUAAAUUUUAAAAAAUGUACCUUGUGCAUUAUGGUUUUACAAGAAAUAGAUUAAACACAUUAAUCCCGAAUUCUAAGUGAGAUGUUAAACUGCUGUUAUGAACCCAUUAAUAACUGUGAAAAAAGCUUUAAAAGACAGUUUAACAGAGGCUACAUACCAUCCGCAUAAGAAUAUAGCUGGUUUUCAACAAACAUUAUACAUUAAAACAUAUAAUAAUAUUAUAAUGUAAAAUUAUUGAGGAUAAGCCCAAUAAUUUGUGCAAUUAAGCAUUCAUUCUACUUUAUUUUAUAGGCCUAAAACCAGCCAACUAAAAUACUUUACCGUAAUAUAAGAAGAUAUAAUAUAUAUUAUGUCUAUGCCCCAAAAAGUUGAAAUAGUGGAAGAACUAAUUUGUCCACCCAUAUUAUGUAAAAAUAAGUAUUAUAAAUUUAUAGCAACAACAAUCUAGAAAAAACACUCUAUAAGCAACAAUAAUUAAUUAAGGAACUCGGCAAACUAUUAUUUCGACUGUUUAACAAAAACAUUGUCUUAUGAAUAAAAUAUUAGAUAAUACCUGC